UACGGAGGGUGCAAACGUUGCUCGGAAUCAUUGGGCGUAAAGCGCACGUAGGUGGCCUGUUAAGUCGGGUGUGAAAUCCCUCGGCUCAACCAAGGAAGUGCAUCCAAAACUGCAGAGCUUGAGUACGAAAGAGGAUCGCGGAAUUCCCGGUGUAGAGGUGAAAUUCGUAGAUAUCGGGAGGAACACCAGUGGCGAAGGCGGCUUGCCAGAACGCGCUCGACGGUGAGGGAUGAAAGCUGGGGGAGCAAACCGG
RNAcentral lists this ribosomal RNA (253 nucleotides) under uncultured bacterium. RNAcentral's name for it is "partial 16S ribosomal RNA". It matches the Rfam family "Bacterial small subunit ribosomal RNA", at positions 524 to 776 of the family's 1533-position model. The record is from RNAcentral.